This 63-nucleotide transfer RNA is filed under the name Panopea globosa. Its description in RNAcentral is "tRNA-Ser". Lineage: Eukaryota; Metazoa; Mollusca; Bivalvia; Adapedonta; Hiatellidae. The record is from RNAcentral.
GACUUUAGUGGUAAUUGUUUGUUUUGAAAGCAAAUUAAGGAUGUUCGAUUCAUCCAAGAGUUU